RNAcentral lists this non-coding RNA (30 nucleotides) under Cricetulus griseus (Chinese hamster). The record is from RNAcentral. Lineage: Eukaryota; Metazoa; Chordata; Mammalia; Rodentia; Cricetidae.
UAGUGAUGAUGUAUAAAGCUAAACAGAUGG